This 469-nucleotide ribosomal RNA is filed under the name uncultured bacterium. Its description in RNAcentral is "partial 16S ribosomal RNA". It matches the Rfam family "Bacterial small subunit ribosomal RNA", at positions 28 to 507 of the family's 1533-position model. The record is from RNAcentral.
GAUGAACGCUGGCGGCGUGCUUAACACAUGCAAGUCGAACGGUGAACCCGGAGCUUGCUCUGUUGGAUCAGUGGCGAACGGGUGAGUAACACGUGAGCAACCUGCCCCUGACUCUGGGAUAAGCGCUGGAAACGGCGUCUAAUACUGGAUAUGUGACGUGACCGCAUGGUCUGCGUUUGGAAAGAUGUUUCGGUUUGGGCUGGUCGGGCGGCUUAUCAGCUUGUUGGUGAGGUAAUGGCGCACCAAGGCGUCGACGGAUAGCCGGCAUGAGAGGGUGACCGGCCACAAUGGGACUGAGACACGGAGCAGAGUGCUACGGGAGACAGCAGUGGGGAAUAUGGUACAAUGGGCGCAAGCCUGAGGCAGAGACGCUGCGUGAGGGAUGCCGGCUUUCUGGUUGUAAACAGCUUUUAGCUGGGAAGAAGCGAUAGUGACGGUACCUGCAGAAAAAGCGCCGGCUAACUACGUG